UUAGUAGUGCAACAAUAUAGAAUUCAAGAGUAUUAUUCUGCGUUACAGGUAUUCACAGAUGGGUCUAAGGCAGUUACGUGUAGUGGUGAAAGUCCUCUGGGUGUGGAUGGAAAUGAAGAAGUAGACUUGCUGGCAAAGAAGGCAUUAAAUCAUCCAUAAAUAGAAAUGAAUUUAGCUUUAAGUAAAGCUGAAUUCAAGAGAUUAAAAUCUAUUGAAGUAAGAAAGAAAUGGCAAAAGUUAUGGAAUAGUGAGUCUAAAGGAACAUGUGUUUAUCAGAUUCAGGAGUGUGUUGGAAAUGAGAGGAAAUAGGAAGAAAGACGUCAUCAGUUCAAGAUUAAGAAUUGGACAUACAGCAUUAAACUGUAUUCUUCGUUAAAAAGAGAAGCAUGGAUCGGGAAAACCUGACAAAUGUGGAGAAUCAGAAACAGCGAAGCAUAUAUAAGAGCAAAAGAUUUCAGUUAAUUUAAGAAUUAUGAUGGCUGGGAGAUGAUCAUAUUUCUCUAAAAGUAUUGUUGGGAAACAGGUCAAGGCAAUCAAGAGUGCAGGAAAUAUUAUUUAAAUACCUGAAAAACACUGGAACAAUGCAUAGAAUUUAGUUUCUUUCCUCUCUCUCUCUCUCUUUUCUUUUCCUCCAUUUUUUUUCUGUUCCAAAUCUACGCACACUCCACACUCCAGAGCAGUAGGUGGCGGUAAUGAACCUUUUUUUUUUUUCAUUGGCUUUCCAAACCGCCAUAAAACACCAGAAGAAGAAGUAGAAGUUCUUUAUAUCUUUCCGGUCUGGUUUGUGCUGGAGUCGUACCAUCGGCGUGCUGUCGUCCGUCAGAGAGCGCGGCGUGUACGUGAACUCAGAGAAGUCCGGGUGGAUCUUCUGGACCGGCUCGAUGCCGCUGUGCAGGAGUUUAGUGACCUCCUCCUCCGACACCUUCAUGUGGUACAUCAUCAUCUCAUUGGCCAGAUGACUGCGGAACUGAGCCUCAUGGACCUUCUUAUACAGCAGAGACUGACACACACACACAAAGGAAAGCUCUUACAUGAGCGAUGCUGAUGCCGCAGUAGAUGGAGAACGCGGUUGCCAGAUCCUCAUCGAAACGAUUGAACCACGGGCCAUUGGUUUUAUUCACCAGUUCUGCCACACCGAUCACCUCUGAUGAGAAAACAGUCAGAUGGACAGAGGUCUGGUCAGUCAGACAGGGACGGCACCCAGGACUGACGUGUCUGACCUUCGUUCUCAUCUUUGAUGGGGAAGCAGAGGAUGUUUCGCGUCCUGAAGCCCGUGCUGUCGUCCACUCCGCGGUAAAACAGA
Long non-coding RNA from Cyprinus carpio (common carp), 1303 nucleotides. RefSeq lists it as uncharacterized. NCBI's taxonomy places the organism in Eukaryota, Metazoa, Chordata, Actinopteri, Cypriniformes, Cyprinidae. The transcript is spliced from 4 exons. The record is from RefSeq and is a predicted model, not a curated record.